GAUGCGGUGGCUCAAUGGUAGAGCUUUCGACUCCAGUGCUGUGGCAUCGAAGGGUUGCAGGUUCAAUUCCUGUCCGUGUCA
Molecule: transfer RNA, 81 nt
Organism: Tortispora caseinolytica NRRL Y-17796
Lineage: Eukaryota; Fungi; Ascomycota; Trigonopsidomycetes; Trigonopsidales; Trigonopsidaceae
Rfam family: tRNA
About the family: Transfer RNA (tRNA) molecules are approximately 80 nucleotides in length. Their secondary structure includes four short double-helical elements and three loops (D, anti-codon, and T loops).
Source: Rfam